AGAGUUUGAUCAUGGCUCAGAAUGAACGCUGGCGGCGUUAACACAUGCAAGUCGCACGAGAACGCUUCAGCUUGCUGAAGCUAGUAAAGUGGCGUACGGGUGAGUAACGCGUGGGUAAUCUAUCUCUGAAUUGGGGAUAACAUUGCGAAAGCGAUGCUAAUACCGGAUAACAUCCAUUAAACCUCGGUUUUUUGGAUCAAAGGUGGCCUCUACAUGUAAGCUACUGUUUGGAGACGAGCCCGCGUACCAUUAGCUUGUUGGUAGGGUAACGGCUUACCAAGGCAACGAUGGUUAGCUGGUCUGAGAGGAUGAUCAGCCACACUGGAACUGACACACGGUCCAGACUCCUACGGGAGGCAGCAGUGAGGAAUUUUGCGCAAUGGGGGAAACCCUGACGCAGCAACGCCGCGUGAGUGAUGAAGGCUUUCGGGUCGUAAAGCUCUGUCAAGUGGGAAGAACCCGCGCCGCACAAAUAGUGCGGUGCGCUGACGGUACCACUGAAGGAAGCACCGGCUAACUCCGUGCCAGCAGCCGCGGUAAUACGGGGGGUGCAAGCGUUAUUCGGAAUCAUUGGGCGUAAAGAGCGCGUAGGCGGUCUUCUAUGUCAGGUGUGAAAGCCCGGGGCUCAACCCCGGAAGUGCACUUGAAACUGGGAGACUUGAGUAUGGGAGAGGGAAGUGGAAUUCCUGGUGUAGCGGUGAAAUGCGUAGAUAUCAGGAGGAACACCGGUGGCGAAGGCGACUUCCUGGACCAAUACUGACGCUGAGGCGCGAAGGCGUGGGGAGCAAACAGGAUUAGAUACCCUAGUAGUCC
RNAcentral lists this ribosomal RNA (813 nucleotides) under uncultured bacterium. RNAcentral describes it as "bacterial SSU rRNA". It matches the Rfam family "Bacterial small subunit ribosomal RNA", at positions 8 to 796 of the family's 1533-position model. The record is from RNAcentral.